GAUGAACGCUAGCUACAGGCCUAACACAUGCAAGUCGAGGGACCGGCGCACGGGUGAGUAAUACGUAACCAACCUGCACUUUACGCGGGGAUAGCCUUUCGCAAGAAAGAUUAAUAACCGAUAUAAAGGCUGGGGAUGCGUUCCUAUAGGUUGUUGGUGAGGUAACGGCCCACCAAGACUUCGAUGGAUAGGGGUUCUGAGAGGAAGGUCCCCCACAUUGGAACUAAGGCACAGUCCACUCUCCUACGGGAGGCAGCGGUGAGGACCAUUAGUCACUGGUCGUUAGCCUAGACCAGCCAAGUAGGGUGAAGGGUGCAUGCUUCUGGAUCGUAAGCUUCUUUUGUAUAAGAAUAGGUAUUAUAUGAAUAAGGAUCGGCUAACUCCGUGCCAGCAGCCGCGGUAAUUC
This 406-nucleotide ribosomal RNA is filed under the name uncultured bacterium. RNAcentral describes it as "partial 16S ribosomal RNA". It matches the Rfam family "Bacterial small subunit ribosomal RNA", at positions 28 to 526 of the family's 1533-position model. The record is from RNAcentral.